GACGAACGCUGGCGGCGUGCUUAACACAUGCAAGUCGAACGGACCUUCUGAUCUUUUGGUUGGUUGGUUAGUGGCGAACGGGUGAGUAACACGUGAGUAACCUGCCCUUCUCUUCGGGAUAACUGUCGGAAACGGUGGCUAAUACCGGAUAUUCAUAUGCUGUCGCAUGGUGGUGUGUGGAAAGAUUUUUUGGUGGGGGAUGGACUCGCGGCCUAUCAGCUUGUUGGUGAGGUAGUGGCUUACCAAGGCUUUGACGGGUAGCCGGCCUGAGAGGGCGACCGGGCAGACUGGGACUGAGAUACGGCCCAGACUCCUACGGGAGGCAGCAGUGGGGAAUAUUGCACAAUGGGCGGAAGCCUGAUGCAGCGACGCCGUGUGCGGGAUGACGGCCUUCGGGUUGUAAACCGCUUUCAACUGUGACGAAUUUGACGGUAGCAGUAGAAGAAGCACCGGCUAACUACGUGCCAGCAGCCGCAGUAA
RNAcentral lists this ribosomal RNA (480 nucleotides) under uncultured bacterium. Its description in RNAcentral is "partial 16S ribosomal RNA". It matches the Rfam family "Bacterial small subunit ribosomal RNA", at positions 28 to 523 of the family's 1533-position model. The record is from RNAcentral.